This is a non-coding RNA of Acanthosepion pharaonis, 110 nucleotides long. Lineage: Eukaryota; Metazoa; Mollusca; Cephalopoda; Sepiida; Sepiidae. The record is from the annotation of a GenBank genome assembly.
ACAGCCACAUCACAUUGAAACACUGAUUUCCAUAAUCGCCAAAGUUAAGCAACACUGAGUUUGGUCAGUACCUCGAUGGGUGACUUCAUGGGAAUACCAGGUGCUGUAAG